RNAcentral lists this ribosomal RNA (468 nucleotides) under uncultured bacterium. RNAcentral's name for it is "partial 16S ribosomal RNA". It matches the Rfam family "Bacterial small subunit ribosomal RNA", at positions 28 to 507 of the family's 1533-position model. The record is from RNAcentral.
GACGAACGCUGGCGGCGUGCUUAACACAUGCAGGUCGAACGGAAAGGCCCUGCUUUUGUGGGGUGCUCGAGUGGCGAACGGGUGAGUAACACGUGAGUAACCUGCCCUUGACUUUGGGAUAACUUCAGGAAACUGGGGCUAAUACCGGAUAGGAGCUCCUGCUGCAUGGUGGGGGUUGGAAAGUUUCGGCGGUUGGGGAUGGACUCGCGGCUUAUCAGCUUGUUGGUGGGGUAGUGGCUUACCAAGGCUUUGACGGGUAGCCGGCCUGAGAGGGUGAACGGCCACAUUGGGACUGAGAUACGGCCCAGACGCCUACGGGAGGCAGAAGUGGGGAAUAUUGCACAAUGGGCGGAAGCCUGAUGCAGCAACGCCGCGUGCGGGAUGACGGCCUUCGGGUUGUAAACCGCUUUCGCCUGUGACGAAGCGUGUGUGACGGUAAUGGGUAAAGAAGCACCGGCUAACUACGUG